RNAcentral lists this unclassified non-coding RNA (156 nucleotides) under soil metagenome. RNAcentral's name for it is "partial internal transcribed spacer 1". The record is from RNAcentral.
CCGAGUUUACAACUCCCAAACCCCUGUGAACAUACCACUUGUUGCCUCGGCGGAUCAGCACGCCUCCCGGUAAAAACGGGACGGCCACCGCCAGAGGACCCCCUAAACUCUGUUUAUCAUAUAUGUAACUUCUGAAGUAAAACCAUAAAUAAAUCA